UUUGUACAGCUCUGCCCAAUAUUCAUCUGACCUCAUGCAACCUUUGUUAGAACACCUGCGGGAACAGGAAGCUCACUACCAACAGAUGAGGAAACUGAGAUCACACAGGCAGAAAAGAGCUGAACUACAGCCUGAUCCUUGGAUCUAUUCCAUGCCCUUCAACUACAUUGCUCUCAGAGAGGGACAGGCCCGCCUGCUGCUCUCCAGAUUGUGAACUGACCAGAGUGGACAGCUAAUUAGAAGCAGUGAUGGAGAUUUCUCAAACUUUGAGGAGAACUGACUACAGGAGAACUGACAGAUGACAGUGAGAAGAAAGAGAAAAGGCACACUAAGUAGAAAAGCAAAAGCACAAAUGGUCACAUUCUACAUGGUAAAAUUGGUUCUGAAGGAAUCAUGACAUCACAGGUCAAUAUAAUAAUUGAUGUUGAUAACUGAGUCAUCACGGGAAGUUAAAUUACAGACGUGUCACUGGGAGCUGAUCACUCAGCUCAUUUACAAAAUGUUUAUUAGCAACCCAGUGUGCACCUGACUCUGUCUAGAUCCUGGGAAUAGAAAGAUGGAUAAAGGAUGGUCCUUACCCUCAAAAGGCUCUCUGGACUUCAGUUUCUCCAGUGAAAAGAUGAGCAAGCCAAAGUGGCUGAUUCCUAAGGGUCUUUCCUAGAAGUUCUGAAUGCUUUCUGCAUUAGGGCUUGAAUCUCAAUGAUCCUAAAAGAUGAUAAUCC
This is a long non-coding RNA of Heterocephalus glaber (naked mole-rat), 722 nucleotides long. RefSeq lists it as uncharacterized. The record is from RefSeq and is a predicted model, not a curated record. Lineage: Eukaryota; Metazoa; Chordata; Mammalia; Rodentia; Bathyergidae.